GACGAACGCUGGCGGCGUGGCUUAACACAUGCAAGUCGAGCGGUAAGGCCCUUUCGGGGGUACACGAGCGGCGAACGGGUGAGUAACACGUGGGUGACCUGCCCUUAGCUCUGGGAUAAGCCUGGGAAACUGGGUCUAAUACCGGAUAUGACUCCAUGACGCAUGUUGUGGGUGGAAAGCCUUGUGCGGCUGAGGAUGGGCCCNCGGCCUAUCAGCUUGUUGGUGGGGUGAUGGCCACC
This 239-nucleotide ribosomal RNA is filed under the name uncultured bacterium. RNAcentral describes it as "partial 16S ribosomal RNA". It matches the Rfam family "Bacterial small subunit ribosomal RNA", at positions 28 to 269 of the family's 1533-position model. The record is from RNAcentral.